Molecule: transfer RNA, 57 nt
Filed under: Liposcelis bostrychophila
Lineage: Eukaryota; Metazoa; Arthropoda; Insecta; Psocodea; Liposcelididae
Description: tRNA-Ser
Source: RNAcentral
GGGGCAUAAACUAUCUGCUUCUAACAGACUUUCAUCGAGCAAUUCUCGAAUGCUCCU